Long non-coding RNA from Daucus carota subsp. sativus, 1352 nucleotides. RefSeq lists it as uncharacterized. NCBI's taxonomy places the organism in Eukaryota, Viridiplantae, Streptophyta, Magnoliopsida, Apiales, Apiaceae. The record is from RefSeq and is a predicted model, not a curated record. The transcript has 3 exons.
UAGACACUAGACUUGCUGCCUAUGUCAAUGUGCCCUUCUUAUAGUAUCAGACUUCUUUUAUGCAGUCACAGUCAUUCCAUACGUCUUUUAUCUGAACUUAAUUGCAUAAGUUCUGGAAAUCUGUAGCUUUGUAUUCUUGUAAAUUUUUGAAUCACGUAUAUUUUUGCAUUAGGACAGGGACAUUCUCAAGCCUUUUUAGCGCAUCAGAUCAAGCUUCGAAACUAGAAUUUAUGCAAAACAAAAAUAUAGAAGGAACAGUAUUUCAAAGGUAUGUGAAUUCUUGUCUGCCAAGUAAUAUUUUUUUCUUUAAGUAUUUUCAUAUUUGCAAGAGAAUUGUCUGGCUGUAUCUUAUAUGCAUAUAGUGUGAUAAGUGGCUAUGUACUGAAGCUAUGAAUCAAUUGUUUGUUUACAUGUGUUUGAAGAUUUUCUCCAAAUUCGCUCAGAAAGCCAAGGACUGAUUGUUCAGCAAUGCAAAACCAAAAGGUGUUCGAGUACUUUGCAUCGUAAUUCGUACAGAUCCCCUGAUGGUAAAGUGUUUACGACACCAGCUGACCGUGAGAGUGGAAAGGGAUUCAAUGGUCGAAGAUACUGUUUGAGCUAGGUUGGACAUGAUGAUUUGGAUUUACCUCAGACUUCAAAGUCCCGACUUGGAAUCCAAAAGUGAAGAUUGUGUGUUUAUAGUUGUAACCAAUUAGAAAUUUACAAAUUGAUUUUUUCUUAACCUAUCAAUCAUGGUUCACGUAUGAAAAGGGGUUCGUCUCCUAAUUAGAAUUAUUCAUUAAGUAUUUUUAUUAAAAUCAUUUGAACCUACUUCUUUGAUAACUAUUUUCACAUUUAUGUGUUAUCUUUCUAAACAAAAGUUCUUCAUAUGCAAUUGUUGGAUUAGAGUGCUUUGCAGUGGUUUUUGGUGCCAUAUGCAGAGCAAUCCGAUGUGCUAUGAUUCUCUAUUUUAAGAUGUUGUCGUCCGCAAAGGGAGGCAUGGUCUUAUAUGCAAAAUCUGUUAUGCUGCAAUAGUAUGUGUUGUGUUAAAAUGGAUUUUGCUGGUAUGUGUUUAGUGCCUCGGCUGGGAUCACGUUCUGGUUUGCAGACGUGGCUGGAAUUUGCUGUCAGAUUUUCCGCGAUCCUAUGGUUACGUUAUUAUUUCUGGUGAACAGAUCUGCUGUCUUUUGGAUCUUUUUGUGAUGCAAAUGGUGCUUCAAAAUUUUGAUCAGGCCUGGGGGAUGGCUGUGAGAAUCUGAAAUUGCUUCUCUUAAAGAAAAAGUGGGAUUACUGGAAAUGUCAAUAGGAUCACAGAGAGAUGAUCUUCAGAUUUCAUAGCGUAGUCUUAAUAUCGCCAAGGAACAAAUUUGAGA